GACGAACGCUGGCGGCGUGCUUAACACAUGCAAGUCGAACGGAAAGGCCCUGCUUUUGUGGGGUGCUCGAGUGGCGAACGGGUGAGUAACACGUGAGUAACCUGCCCUUGACUUUGGGAUAACUUCAGGAAACUGGGGCUAAUACCGGAUAGGAGCUCCUGCUGCAUGGUGGGGGUUGGAAAGUUUCGGCGGUUGGGGAUGGACUCGCGGCUUAUCAGCUUGUUGGUGGGGUAGUGGCUUACCAAGUCUUUGACGGGUAGCCGGCCUGAGAGGGUGACCGGCCACAUUGGGACUGGAAUACGGCACAGACUCCAACGGGAGGCAGCGGUGGGGAAUAGUGCACAAUAGGCGGAAGCCUGAUGCAGCAACGCCGCGUGCGGGAAGACGGCAUUCGGGUUGGAAACCGCUUUCGUCUGAGACGAAGCGUGAGUGACGGUAAUGGGUAAAGAAGCACCGGCUAACUACGUG
This 468-nucleotide ribosomal RNA is filed under the name uncultured bacterium. Its description in RNAcentral is "partial 16S ribosomal RNA". It matches the Rfam family "Bacterial small subunit ribosomal RNA", at positions 28 to 507 of the family's 1533-position model. The record is from RNAcentral.